RNAcentral lists this ribosomal RNA (567 nucleotides) under Scopulariopsis sp. 70024521. RNAcentral describes it as "LSU rRNA". It matches the Rfam family "Eukaryotic large subunit ribosomal RNA", at positions 62 to 648 of the family's 3401-position model. The record is from RNAcentral. Lineage: Eukaryota; Fungi; Ascomycota; Sordariomycetes; Microascales; Microascaceae. RNAcentral also lists the same sequence under 1 other name.
AAACCAACAGGGAUUGCCCCAGUAACGGCGAGUGAAGCGGCAACAGCUCAAAUUUGAAAUCUGGUCCCCCCGCGGGGCCCGAGUUGUAAUUUGAAGAGGAUGCUUCUGGCAAGGUGCCGUCCGAGUUCCCUGGAACGGGACGCCGCAGAGGGUGAGAGCCCCGUACGGUCGGACGCCGAGCCUCUGUGAAGCUCCUUCGACGAGUCGAGUAGUUUGGGAAUGCUGCUCAAAAUGGGAGGUAAACCCCUUCUAAAGCUAAAUACCGGCCAGAGACCGAUAGCGCACAAGUAGAGUGAUCGAAAGAUGAAAAGCACUUUGAAAAGAGAGUUAAAAAGCACGUGAAAUUGUUGAAAGGGAAGCGCUUGCGACCAGACUCGCGCCCGUCGGAUCAGCCGUCGCUCGUCGGCGGCGCACUCCGGCGGGCUCGGGCCAGCAUCAGUUCGCCUCGGGGGGAGAAAGGCGGCGGGAAUGUGGCUCUACGGAGUGUUAUAGCCCGCCGCGUAAUACCCCCGGGCGGACUGAGGACCGCGCGUAUGCAAGGAUGCUGGCGUAAUGGUCGUCAGCGAC